This is a long non-coding RNA of Hemicordylus capensis (graceful crag lizard), 978 nucleotides long. RefSeq lists it as uncharacterized. The record is from RefSeq and is a predicted model, not a curated record. NCBI's taxonomy places the organism in Eukaryota, Metazoa, Chordata, Lepidosauria, Squamata, Cordylidae. The transcript is spliced from 4 exons.
GUUAACUUUCCUCCCAGCCCUAUUGGGUCUCCUGGCGUCUUGUGCUCCUCCCACGCUUGGAAUUUGUAGGGAACUGCAGAGCUGAGGAAGCUGGCUGUUGGGCUGGUAGUCUCCCUCCAAAAAUCAAUCUCACCCUGAGUAUAUUCUAGUGUAAAAAGUAGUUAAUUCAGCUAAUUUAAGGGUGGGAGAGAAAAGGAAUGAGAGAAAGAGCGGAGAGGAGGAGGAAGAUCGGUGGUGUGAGGUGGGCGCAAGGCUAUGUGUGGCUCACUAGAGGUGCAUCAGAAUCUAAUCUGGCCCACCACCAAAUUUUAGUUUGACACCCCCUGGCAUAGUGCAUUUCCAAGAGAAAGAAAAUCCAAGCCCCAAUAUUUAUACGGGGGGGGGAUCUUUUAUGAGGGGUGAUUCUUGUUGCACCCCCUGUAAUUUCCUGCUGGAUCUGCCCCUGUGAAUUCGAUUCAUUGUGAACAAGAUAUUCACCAUAAUCAUAAUGGGGAUCUGAGUGUGACUGCUCGUAUGCAUAUUGGUUUGCAGCAUCUCUCAUGACUGAGAAUCUGAAGCUUUCCUAUAGUGAAAGAAAGGAGAAAGAAAGGUGAGAAAGAAAGAAAGGUGAAAGGUGAGAAAGAAAGAAAGAAACAAAGCAGUAAAACCAAUAUACAACUACAUGUGCAAAUGGAAAAGCAGCGAUUAUCUACUAUCUUCAUUCCUAAUUUUUAAAAUUGAGCUUAUGAGACAGAAAAACAGUCCAUUGCCCCUUGCCCUACUUUCAGAGAGUGACAGCAGCAGCACUAACAGGUCUUUUGGUGGGACUCAGAACAACUAUCUGGAACAGAUUUACUUUUCUUUCACUUUUUUGGCAUCUAUCUUCUUAAUAGGAGUUAAUGCUUUUCAUAAAAUUUUUUUAAGUGCUUAUAUUCUGUAGAUAUGUAUGUUUCAGACUCCUCCAUUUGUCAAGGAAAAACUUCCCACUCACAGCUGCAA